AUGGUGCAAAGUUUUAUACGUUUGGUCUUGCAGCAGUGUGCUGGGCAAUCUGAAAUUGCCGAAAUCGUGCAACCUUUGAGUUUAAAUAUCCUAGAUGACUAUUUGAAGUGGUGUUUUCCUCUUGUGUAUUUCUUAAAUAUUGGGCAGGACUACUGA
RNAcentral lists this ribosomal RNA (156 nucleotides) under Triticum aestivum (bread wheat). RNAcentral describes it as "partial small subunit ribosomal RNA". Lineage: Eukaryota; Viridiplantae; Streptophyta; Magnoliopsida; Poales; Poaceae. The record is from RNAcentral.